GUGGGGAAUAUUGGGCAAUGGGCGCAAGCCUGACCCAGUAACGCCGCGUGAAGGAAGAAGGCUUUCGGGUUGUAAACUUCUUUUACCAGGGACGAAACAAAUGACGGUACCUGGUGAAUAAGCCACGGCUAACUACGUGCCAGCAGCCGCGGUAAUACGUAGGUGGCGAGCGUUAUCCGGAUUUAUUGGGUGUAAAGGGCGUGUAGGCGGGACAGCAAGUCAGAUGUGAAAACCAGAGGCUCAACCUCUGGCCUGCAUUUGAAACUGUUGUUCUUGAGUGUCGGAGAGGUAAUCGGAAUUCCGUGUGUAGCGGUGAAAUGCGUAGAUAUACGGAGGAACACCAGUGGCGAAGGCGGAUUACUGGACGAUAACUGACGCUGAGGCGCGAAAGCGUGGGGAGCAAACAGGAUUAGAUACCCCGGUAGUCC
RNAcentral lists this ribosomal RNA (428 nucleotides) under uncultured bacterium. RNAcentral's name for it is "partial 16S ribosomal RNA". It matches the Rfam family "Bacterial small subunit ribosomal RNA", at positions 354 to 796 of the family's 1533-position model. The record is from RNAcentral.